AUGAGUCCCUAAUCUACUCAAAUCAAACCCAAACCAAUUUCAGUCCAAACAAAACUUGUCCAAAAAAUUAAAAAAGGAAGAAGAGUGAGAUCUAAUGAAAUUCUAGAUCUACUUGUUACAUCUCUUCGCCAUUGUCACCGUCAAGCUUGCCGUAGUGUUUGAGAUCAGAGGGAGACGCAUGAAUCUCACCGCAGUCAAAAACGCCGACGAAGUCAUGGAGAGGUACGUCGAGGACUCGCCUGCAAUCCUCCCUCCUCUUAGGGAUUGCUACCUCACGUGCUGUGGCAGCGCGCCGUUACAUGAGAAGCUUAGCCUCGUGUACGUUGGAACAGUUGUUUUUGCCAUAGCUUGUCCAGGUUGCAUCUGUGGAUGAUCGGAGUCUAAUUAUGAUUUUUGUUACUGAUGGCAAGAAAGUUUCACGCCAAGACAUUGAGCUU
Long non-coding RNA from Arachis ipaensis, 437 nucleotides. RefSeq lists it as uncharacterized. Lineage: Eukaryota; Viridiplantae; Streptophyta; Magnoliopsida; Fabales; Fabaceae. The record is from RefSeq and is a predicted model, not a curated record.